UAUAUAUAUACAUAUAUAUAUAUAGAUACAUAUAUACAUACAUACAUAUAUACAUACAUACAUAUAUAUAUACAUAUAUACAUAUAUAUAUACAUACAUAUAUAUGUUCUGUUUUGACAUGAAAUUUACCUGUGCUUCAAUCUCUUCUAUUAUUAUUCAUUCACCUUGAUCGGUUUCCAAUUUGCUGAGCAUCACUCGAUGUUUUUUAGUUGUAGAUCAGUGAAUCAACACAACAGACCAAAUAUGGGCAAUGUGAGUUAGGGGCAUCUGAUCUGAUCAACAAUGUUACCCAUGGUUACUAUAGUCUGCAACAAUAGAAAACUACUAAGCUGUGGAUGGAAAGCCAUGAAUCCGUAGGAAAAAUUGGAGCAAAAAUGUGAACCUACUUGAUCAUAAGUUUAUGGAAGCUGCAGAGGCUUGCUGCAUCUAAGGAAACCAUGCUUAUUUCUGAUAGUAGGCAACUGUGGUUGUGAUACAUGGGAGUAGAGCACUCUGUAUCAUCUUCUUUGACAGAGAUUGAACUACGAGACUACAAUUUCUAAGGCUUCAUGCUCAACUAAUCUGGCUGGUAGAACUGAGCUUGCCAAUUUAGGGCGUGUUUAUCUGCGAUGUGAAGGCUGAUUGGGAUGCACAGUUUGUGAAGUUGGCAGUUUCCUCGGUGAUUCCUAACUUUCUUGUCCCAUUUGAUAGGUAGCCAUUGACUGGAUCCUGGUAGUGGGAGACAAUGUGGUCAAUAUAUAUUCUUAAUAUCUUUCAUUCAACUUUCACCGUACUAGGUGUUCUUAUCUUAAUGAAAAAGAACAGGAAAAGUAUAAUAUAAUGAUUAGUAGUUAAAAAAAUGUGGCACAUACCAUGGUAAUAAAUGUUAGAUAAUUGAUGAGGAUA
Musa acuminata AAA Group (dessert banana) is the source of this 885-nucleotide long non-coding RNA. RefSeq lists it as uncharacterized. Lineage: Eukaryota; Viridiplantae; Streptophyta; Magnoliopsida; Zingiberales; Musaceae. The transcript is spliced from 5 exons. The record is from RefSeq and is a predicted model, not a curated record.